Molecule: non-coding RNA, 157 nt
Organism: Pelobates cultripes (western spadefoot toad)
Lineage: Eukaryota; Metazoa; Chordata; Amphibia; Anura; Pelobatidae
Source: the annotation of a GenBank genome assembly
GCUGACACAUUCCAGCCAAUCAGCAGCAGACACUCCCUCCCAGACCCUGCCACCUCCUGGACAGCUCACUAAGAAUGCAGCUUCAAAAUGGAUGCUGUCCAGGAGGUGGGAGAGUCUGGGAGGGAGGGUCUGCUGCUGAUUGGCUGGAAUGUGUCAG